This 336-nucleotide ribosomal RNA is filed under the name Salmonella enterica. RNAcentral's name for it is "bacterial SSU rRNA". It matches the Rfam family "Bacterial small subunit ribosomal RNA", at positions 454 to 785 of the family's 1533-position model. Lineage: Bacteria; Pseudomonadati; Pseudomonadota; Gammaproteobacteria; Enterobacterales; Enterobacteriaceae. The record is from RNAcentral.
GUUAAUAACCGCAGCAAUUGACGUUACCCGCAGAAGAAGCACCGGCUAACUCCGUGCCGGCGGCGGCGGUAAUACGGAGGGUGCGAUGGGUUCAUCUAGAGUUACUUGCCGUAAAGCGCACGCAGGCGGUCUGUCAAGUCGGAUGUGAAAUCCCCGGGCUCAACCUGGGAACUGCAUUCGAAACUGGCAGGCUUGAGUCUUGUAGAGGGGGGUAGAAUUCCAGGUGUAGCGGUGAAAUGCGUAGAGAUCUGGAGGAAUACCGGUGGCGAAGGCGGCCCCCUGGACAAAGACUGACGCUCAGGUGCGAAAGCGUGGGGAGCAAACAGGAUUAGAUAC